GCGGUGGAGCAUGUGGUUUAAUUCGAAGCAACGCGAAGAACCUUACCAGGCCUUGACAUGCAGAGAACUUUCCAGAGAUGGAUUUGGUGCCUUCGGGAACUCUGACACAGGUGCUGCAUGGCUGUCGUCAGUUCGUGUCGUGAGAUGUUGGGUUAAGUCCCGUAACGAGCGCAACCCUUGUCCUUAGUUACCAGCACGUUAUGGUGGGCACUCUAAGGAGACUGCCGGUGACAACCGGAGGAAGGUGGGGAUGACGUCAAGUCAUCAUGGCCCUUACGGCCUGGGCUACACACGUGCUACAAUGGUCGGUACAAAGGGUUGCCAAGCCGCGAGGUGGAGCUAAUCCCAUAAAACCGAUCGUAGUCCGGAUCGCAGUCUGCAACUCGACUGCGUGAAGUCGGAAUCGCUAGUAAUCGUGAAUCAGAAUGUCACGGUGAAUACGUUCCCGGGCCUU
Molecule: ribosomal RNA, 454 nt
Filed under: uncultured Pseudomonas sp.
Lineage: Bacteria; Pseudomonadati; Pseudomonadota; Gammaproteobacteria; Pseudomonadales; Pseudomonadaceae
Description: bacterial SSU rRNA
Rfam family: Bacterial small subunit ribosomal RNA
Source: RNAcentral